This 1317-nucleotide ribosomal RNA is filed under the name Escherichia coli. RNAcentral describes it as "bacterial LSU rRNA". It matches the Rfam family "Bacterial large subunit ribosomal RNA", at positions 1633 to 2925 of the family's 2925-position model. The record is from RNAcentral. Lineage: Bacteria; Pseudomonadati; Pseudomonadota; Gammaproteobacteria; Enterobacterales; Enterobacteriaceae.
AACAUCAAAUCGUACCCCAAACCGACACAGGUGGUCAGGUAGAGAAUACCAAGGCGCUUGAGAGAACUCGGGUGAAGGAACUAGGCAAAAUGGUGCCGUAACUUCGGGAGAAGGCACGCUGAUAUGUAGGUGAAGCGACUUGCUCGUGGAGCUGAAAUCAGUCGAAGAUACCAGCUGGCUGCAACUGUUUAUUAAAAACACAGCACUGUGCAAACACGAAAGUGGACGUAUACGGUGUGACGCCUGCCCGGUGCCGGAAGGUUAAUUGAUGGGGUUAGCGGUAACGCGAAGCUCUUGAUCGAAGCCCCGGUAAACGGCGGCCGUAACUAUAACGGUCCUAAGGUAGCGAAAUUCCUUGUCGGGUAAGUUCCGACCUGCACGAAUGGCGUAAUGAUGGCCAGGCUGUCUCCACCCGAGACUCAGUGAAAUUGAACUCGCUGUGAAGAUGCAGUGUACCCGCGGCAAGACGGAAAGACCCCGUGAACCUUUACUAUAGCUUGACACUGAACAUUGAGCCUUGAUGUGUAGGAUAGGUGGGAGGCUUUGAAGUGUGGACGCCAGUCUGCAUGGAGCCGACCUUGAAAUACCACCCUUUAAUGUUUGAUGUUCUAACGUUGGCCCCUGAUCGGGGUUGCGGACAGUGUCUGGUGGGUAGUUUGACUGGGGCGGUCUCCUCCUAAAGAGUAACGGAGGAGCACGAAGGUUGGCUAAUCCUGGUCGGACAUCAGGAGGUUAGUGCAAUGGCAUAAGCCAGCUUGACUGCGAGCGUGACGGCGCGAGCAGGUGCGAAAGCAGGUCAUAGUGAUCCGGUGGUUCUGAAUGGAAGGGCCAUCGCUCAACGGAUAAAAGGUACUCCGGGGAUAACAGGCUGAUACCGCCCAAGAGUUCAUAUCGACGGCGGUGUUUGGCACCUCGAUGUCGGCUCAUCACAUCCUGGGGCUGAAGUAGGUCCCAAGGGUAUGGCUGUUCGCCAUUUAAAGUGGUACGCGAGCUGGGUUUAGAACGUCGUGAGACAGUUCGGUCCCUAUCUGCCGUGGGCGCUGGAGAACUGAGGGGGGCUGCUCCUAGUACGAGAGGACCGGAGUGGACGCAUCACUGGUGUUCGGGUUGUCAUGCCAAUGGCACUGCCCGGUAGCUAAAUGCGGAAGAGAUAAGUGCUGAAAGCAUCUAAGCACGAAACUUGCCCCGAGAUGAGUUCUCCCUGACUCCUUGAGAGUCCUGAAGGAACGUUGAAGACGACGACGUUGAUAGGCCGGGUGUGUAAGCGCAGCGAUGCGUUGAGCUAACCGGUACUAAUGAACCGUGAGGCUUAACCUU